CCGGCGGGCAGCAGCCCGUCGGUAACUGACACCGGUACCUGAUACGGCCGGUGCAG
Regulatory RNA element from Streptomyces sp. MnatMP-M17, 56 nucleotides. It matches the Rfam family "L17-Actino-Proteobacteria ribosomal protein leader". NCBI's taxonomy places the organism in Bacteria, Bacillati, Actinomycetota, Actinomycetes, Kitasatosporales, Streptomycetaceae. The record is from Rfam.